This 495-nucleotide ribosomal RNA is filed under the name uncultured bacterium. Its description in RNAcentral is "partial 16S ribosomal RNA". It matches the Rfam family "Bacterial small subunit ribosomal RNA", at positions 28 to 507 of the family's 1533-position model. The record is from RNAcentral.
GACGAACGCUGGCGGCGUGCCUAAUACAUGCCAGUAGAACGCUGAAGGAGGAGCUUGCUCUUCUGGAUGAGUUGCGAACGGGUGAGUAACGCGUAGGUAACCUGCCUGGUAGCGGGGGAUAACUAUUGGAAACGAUAGCUAAUACCGCAUAAGAGUAGAUGUUGCAUGACAUUUGCUUAAAAGGUGCAAUUGCAUCACUACCAGAUGGACCUGCGUUGUAUUAGCUAGUUGGUGGGGUAACGGCUCACCAAGGCGACGAUACAUAGCCGACCUGAGAGGGUGAUCGGCCACACUGGGACUGAGACACGGCCCAGACUCCUACGGGAGGCAGCAGUAGGGAAUCUUCGGCAAUGGACGGAAGUCUGACCGAGCAACGCCGCGUGAGUGAAGAAGGUUUUCGGAUCGUAAAGCUCUGUUGUAAGAGAAGAACGAGUGUGAGAGUGGAAAGUUCACACUGUGACGGUAUCUUACCAGAAAGGGACGGCUAACUACGUG